UUCUCUCAAUUUUCCAAAUUAAUUCAAGAAAACUGUGACCUGAAGCUUGGGAAUGCAAAGCGUGCACACAAGAAUCUCAUUCACUCACCAUCUCUUUCAACGUGAACCUCUCACCCUUCCACAACCAUAGGACAAACCUGCAUGAUUUCAUUGAUGUUCCUUGUCACCCCUUUGCACUACAAAUCACUGGUUCCAAUUCCUGUCUUGAUUCAGAUUCUGGAAUGAGAGCUUGCUAGUUCUCUCACAGGUUUCUGCCCCUUUUCCCCAAUUGGUUUCUGCUACUUCACUUUUCUGCUACUUCAAUUUUGUGGAUGAUGGGGUGGUAUUAUUCAUUGGUGGAAGUUGUGUUGUACUAAGCUGUGCCUGUGGGUAUUUUCUAUCUUUAGGAAAGUCUUCAACUCUUUAUGAUUCAGGGUUUAGUUUAAAGCUAGGUGGAUUGAAUGAGAGACAUGACUUGGGGGGCUGCACUCAAAGGUUCCCCCAAAGUUUAUUCCCAUUCAAGACCUAUCUCUUGGAUUGUGGUUUCAGUAGGAGUACUAGCAGUGUUCUUCUUGACUUUUGCUUGCUGGACUAUGGUGUCAUACCCUAUUGGUUCAACCCUUCAUGGAUAUUUCUAUGGUUCAGAGAGUUCAGAAAAUUCUUAUAUAUCAGUUUCUCUGAUCAAUGAAACUUCUACCGAUCUUACCGCGAAUGUAAGUUUAGAUCUUGCAGCUAGUAAAGCAUCCCCUGAUCUGCAACCUUCCAAAGUUUCCAAUGGUGUGUCAAAUGAUAGCGAGAUAGAUCACACUCAUACUGAAUCAAGAUCACAAGUACCCUACAGUGAAACUGCCUCACCAAUUAUUCCAGAAUCCAAGGAGGUGGAUGCCCUAGUAAAUUCUGUUGUGGCGACUUCUAAUUCGCAAGAUCCUGUGACCUCAUUUGGAAACAGCACAAAUGUGAUUAACAGUAGCUUGCCUGCUCACUCCGAUUCACCAAUUGAUUUGGCUUCAGCUGCACCUACUCCAGUCGCUGGAUCCAAUUCUUCCAGUGUGACGGAUAAUAAUGGAAUGGAGGAUCCAAAUAUAGUAGCUUCUAUGAAUAAGUCCAACACUCUAUUUACAGCAUCAAAAGACUGUGAUCUGUACCAUGGAAAUUGGAUCUAUGAUCCAUUAGGACCAUUAUACACAAACAACUCAUGCCCUGUGCUGACACAAACGCAGAACUGCUUGGGUAAUGGGAGGCCUGAUAAGGAUUAUGAGAACUGGCGAUGGAAACCCCUUCAGUGUGACCUUCCACGAUUUGAUCCCAGCAAGUUUUUAGAGCUAAUGAGAGGAAAGACAUUGGCUUUCAUUGGUGAUUCAGUGGCUCGGAACCAGAUGGAGUCAAUGCUGUGUAUUCUUUGGCAGGUAGAAGAACCCAUGAAUCAGGGAACUCGUAACAUGCAGCGAUAUUAUUUUAAGUCUGCAUCUGUAACGGUUAUACGGAUAUGGUCGUCAUGGCUUGUCAAACACAAUACUGAACCAUUUAACUUUGCCUCAUCUGGUGUGGAGAAGAUCUAUCUUGAUGCCCCUGAUGAGAGGUUGAUGGAGUUGAUCUCAACAUUUGAUGUGCUUGUUCUUUCUUCUGGCCAUUGGUUUGCUAAGCAGUCUGUAUAUAUUUUGAACAACGAGAUUGUGGGAGGACAACUGUGGUGGCCGGACAAGUCUCGGCACAUGAAGAUCAACAAUGUUGAAGCAUUUGGUAUUUCUGUGGAAACAGUUUUCACUGCUCUUGUUACACAUCCAAAUUAUACAGGGCUCACAAUUUUGCGCUCUUAUUCCCCGGAUCACUACGAGGGUGGGGCCUGGAACACAGGUGGAUCAUGCACUGGAAAAGUUAAGCCUCUUGCCCCCGGUGAGUUGGUGGAAAAUAAGCAUACCGAUGCGAUGCAUGAGCAACAGGUAGCAGGUUUUAAUCGAGCGAUAAAAAAGACAACAAAUAGAUCAAAAAUGAGACUGAUGGAUAUUACUGAAGCCUUUCAGUACCGGGUUGAUGGUCAUCCUGGCCCAUACAGGAGCCCUGACCCGAACAAGAUUACAACACGCGGCCCAAAUGGAAGGCCACCGCCACAGGAUUGCUUGCAUUGGUGCAUGCCAGGCCCUGUAGAUACCUGGAAUCAAAUUGUGUUUGAAAUCAUUAAGAGAGAAUAUGAAGGUGACAGGGCAGCAUGAGAUCUAUUUUUUUUCCUUGACAGCCAAGCUACAUUCACCUUCUGCACUCAGGAGGGUGACUUUUGCAGAAAUGUGCCUGUCUGAAGAGGGGUAAAACUGAAAUGAAGAUGGGAAGUUCGAUUGGCUGUUUGGUAUAAGAUGCAUUUGGGAUUUUGAAGCCAAAGUUUGGAAAUUGGAGUGCCACCAUUCUAGUAGAAUGGGAAUUCAAGAUCUCCAAAUUCAUGGUAUCUGAUGUAUAUUUUGAGUAGUUUUCUACUGUCACGCCAAGGAGAUGUUAGUUCAUAAAUACUGUAGUAUGUAGUCCGGGAAUAUGUCACUUGAACAUGUAACCAAGAGGGAUGCAUAGUAAACGCCCCCCCAGGUUCACUCUUUUUAAACUCUUAGUAACAUGAGGAUUAUGGUUAUGUUUCACUUAGUAUACUACAUGGGGCAUGUACUGAAUUUUAUGAGGAAUGAAGGAAGUCUGUUUUUACUUUUUA
Lotus japonicus is the source of this 2668-nucleotide RNA transcript. It is a transcript of the gene named protein YLS7, with no coding region annotated. Lineage: Eukaryota; Viridiplantae; Streptophyta; Magnoliopsida; Fabales; Fabaceae. The transcript is spliced from 5 exons. The record is from RefSeq and is a predicted model, not a curated record.